Molecule: ribosomal RNA, 484 nt
Filed under: uncultured bacterium
Lineage: Bacteria
Description: partial 16S ribosomal RNA
Rfam family: Bacterial small subunit ribosomal RNA
Source: RNAcentral
AUUGAACGCUGGCGGCAUGCUUUACACAUGCAAGUCGAACGGCAGCGCGGGCUUCGGCCUGGCGGCGAGUGGCGAACGGGUGAGUAAUACAUCGGAACGUGCCCAGUAGUGGGGGAUAGCUCGGCGAAAGCCGGAUUAAUACCGCAUACGACCUGAGGGUGAAAGCGGGGGAUCUUCGGACCUCGCGCUAUUGGAGUGGCCGAUGGCAGAUUAGCUAGUUGGUGGGGUAAAGGCCUACCAAGGCGACGAUCUGUAGCUGGUCUGAGAGGACGACCAGCCACACUGGGACUGAGACACGGCCCAGACUCCUACGGGAGGCAGCAGUGGGGAAUUUUGGACAAUGGGCGAAAGCCUGAUCCAGCGAUGCCGCGUGUGUGAUGAAGGCCUUCGGGUUGUAAAGCACUUUUGGCGGGAACGAAAAGGACUGUGCCAAUACCACGGUUCGAUGACGGUACCCGCAGAAUAAGCACCGGCUAACUACGUG